RNAcentral lists this long non-coding RNA (1573 nucleotides) under Homo sapiens (human). RNAcentral's name for it is "HSALNT0115201". The record is from RNAcentral. Lineage: Eukaryota; Metazoa; Chordata; Mammalia; Primates; Hominidae.
AACACUGGGUGAAUGCAGAAAAUUGCAUCUAGUGACAGCAGCAUAGGAACAAAACACGAAGGCUCCCGACAACCUAGCGGCUAUCUUGGUCUCCCCUGAGUGCAUUUGGAACCUGGCCCAUUCACAUCAGUCUGUCAACUCCCAGCCCGUGGCAGGUGACCCUCCCCGUUGACAAGGCAUAAGCUGCAGCUCUGCCCACAGCCUCCCCUCUUUAAUUUUCUCUUUCCUCUCAGUCUAUCUUAUAUUUUUCUUCUUUGUUCUCUAUUCUUUUAAUCUUUUUCUCCCUCUCUUGCUUCCUUUUGUUCUCCAGGGUGGCCGGUGUGGGCAGCUGGUGGCUUCCAUAAACUUCAAAUCUUUUUCAAGAUCAUGCAUUCUUGCAACCGGGGAAGAAUGGCCUACAAAGCCUGAUUGGGACCACAUAUAUCCCGGAUUUCCUUGGACUGACUCAACUAUUUGUCCCAGCUCCAAGUUUCAAGAAGCCAGUCAAGAUUGUCAGGAAUUCAAAGUUGACUGGGAUGGCAACCUCAGAAGCCAUGUCCUGAAGACAGCAAGGCCUCCUCAGCCUGGGUCCUUGAAUGACUGCAUGGAGGAGUGCUGCUCCUCCUCACCUGAACACUUGCAAAGGAUGGUUACAGGACAAAGAAAGAAACUUGGGUGAAGUCACUAGAUUUGGAGAUCUGUAUGUUACUGAUAUAGUUUGGAUCUGUGUCCCCGCCCAAACCUCAUAUUGAAAUGUAAUUCCCCGUGUUGGAGGUGGGGCCUGGUGGGAGGUGACUGGAUCAUGGGGGCGGAUUUCUCAGGACAGUGAGUGAGCUCUCGUAAGAUCUGGUUGAGUGUGCGGGCCCUCCCUGCGCUCUUUUUUUUUUUUUUUUUUUUUUUUUUUUGAGAUGGAGUCUCACUCUAUUGCCUAGGCUGGAGUGCAAUGGCGCUAUCUUGGCUCAUUGCAACCUCUGCCUCCCAGGUUCAACUGAUUCUCCCGCCUCAGUCUCCCCAGUAGCUGGGAUUACAGGUGCACACCACCACACUCGGCUAAUUUUUGUACUUUUAGUAGAGACAGGGUUUCACCAUGUUGGCCAGGCUGGUCUUGAACUCCUGACAUCGUGAUCCGCCCACCUCGGCCUCCCCGAGUGCUGGAUUCCAGGCGUGAGCCACUGCACCUGGCCACCACGUUCUCUCCUGACAUGUGUCAUGCCUACUCCCUGUUCGCCUUCUGCCAUGGUUGGAGGCUUCCUGAGACCUCAUCAGAAGCAGAUGCUACUGUGCUUCCUGUAAAGCCUGCAGAACCAUCAGCCAAAUACAUUUCUUUUCUUCAUAAAUUACCCAGUCUCAGGUAUUUCUUUAUAGCAACACAAGAAUGGCCUAAUAUAGUUACUGUGGCUUAGCCUAUCCUUAAUGAAACACUAUGUGUUCCAGAUAUUUAAAGCUGUCAUUUUCAACCAGGGACAAUUUUGUCCUCCAGGGGGCACUUGGCAAUGGCUAGAGACAUUUUUGGUCGUCACAAGUGGGGACGGUGGUGGUUCUAUUAGCUUCUAAUGGAUAGAAGUCAGCCUUGCUGCUAAACGUUCCUACAACG